RNAcentral lists this ribosomal RNA (82 nucleotides) under Bacillus thuringiensis serovar subtoxicus. The record is from RNAcentral. Lineage: Bacteria; Bacillati; Bacillota; Bacilli; Caryophanales; Bacillaceae.
UCUGGUAAUGAUGGCAGAGAGGUCACACCCGUUCCCAUACCGAACACGGAAGUUAAGCUCUCUAGCGCCGAUGGUAGUUGGG